RNAcentral lists this ribosomal RNA (408 nucleotides) under uncultured fungus. RNAcentral describes it as "bacterial SSU rRNA". It matches the Rfam family "Eukaryotic small subunit ribosomal RNA", at positions 1326 to 1746 of the family's 1831-position model. The record is from RNAcentral. Lineage: Eukaryota; Fungi.
CGAUAACGAACGAGACCUUAACCUGCUAAAUAGAGAUGCGAACCUGCGUUCGUACGCUCUUCUUAGAGGGACUGACUACGUUUAGUGGUCGGAAGUUUGAGGCAAUAACAGGUCUGUGAUGCCCCUAGAUGUUCUGGGCUGCACGCGCGCUACACUGACAGAGGCAACGAGUAUACAACCUUGACCGGAAGGUCUGGGCAAUCUUUUUAAACUCUGUCGUGCUGGGGAUAGAGCAUUGCAAUUAUUGCUCUUCAACGAGGAAUUCCUAGUAAGCGCAUGUCAUCAGCAUGCGUUGAUUACGUCCCUGCCCUUUGUACACACCGCCCGUCGCUACUACCGAUGAAUGGCUGGGGCGGGGGCGGCGGGCCGGGCGCGGGGCGCGGCGGGCGAGGUCUCGUUCGUUAUCGA